AGAGUUUGAUCCUGGCUCAGGACGAACGCUGGCGGCGUGCCUAAUACAUGCAAGUCGAGCGGACAGGUGGGAGCUUGCUCCCUGAUGUUAGCGGCGGACGGGUGAGUAACACGUGGGUAACCUGCCUGUAAGACUGGGAUAACUCCGGGAAACCGGGGCUAAUACCGGAUGGUUGUUUGAACCGCAUGGUUCAAACAUAAAAGGUGGCUUCGGCUACCACUUACAGAUGGACCCGCGGCGCAUUAGCUAGUUGGUGAGGUAACGGCUCACCAAGGCAACGAUGCGUAGCCGACCUGAGAGGGUGAUCGGCCACACUGGGACUGAGACACGGCCCAGACUCCUACGGGAGGCAGCAGUAGGGAAUCUUCCGCAAUGGACGAAAGUCUGACGGAGCAACGCCGCGUGAGUGAUGAAGGUUUUCGGAUCGUAAAGCUCUGUUGUUAGGGAAGAACAAGUACCGUUCGAACAGGGCGGUACCUUGACGGUACCUAACCAGAAAGCCACGGCUAACUACGUGCCAGCAGCCGCGGUAAUACGUAGGUGGCAAGCGUUUUCCGGAAUUAUUGGGCGUAAAGGGCUCGCAGGCGGUUUCUUAAGUCUGAUGUGAAAGCCCCCGGCUCAACCGGGGAGGGUCAUUGGAAACUGGGGAACUUGAGUGCAGAAGAGGAGAGUGGAAUUCCACGUGUAGCGGUGAAAUGCGUAGAGAUGUGGAGGAACACCAGUGGCGAAGGCGACUCUCUGGUCUGUAACUGACGCUGAGGAGCGAAAGCGUGGGGAGCGAACAGGAUUAGAUACCCUGGUAGUCCACGCCGUAAACGAUGAGUGCUAAGUGUUAGGGGGUUUCCGCCCCUUAGUGCUGCAGCUAACGCAUUAAGCACUCCGCCUGGGGAGUACGGUCGCAAGACUGAAACUCAAAGGAAUUGACGGGGGCCCGCACAAGCGGUGGAGUAUGUGGUUUAAUUCGAAGCAACGCGAAGAACCUUACCAGGUCUUGACAUCCUCUGACAAUCCUAGAGAUAGGACGUCCCCUUCGGGGGCAGAGUGACAGGUGGUGCAUGGUUGUCGUCAGCUCGUGUCGUGAGAUGUUGGGUUAAGUCCCGCAACGAGCGCAACCCUUGAUCUUAGUUGCCAGCAUUCAGUUGGGCACUCUAAGGUGACUGCCGGUGACAAACCGGAGGAAGGUGGGGAUGACGUCAAAUCAUCAUGCCCCUUAUGACCUGGGCUACACACGUGCUACAAUGGACAGAACAAAGGGCAGCGAAACCGCGAGGUUAAGCCAAUCCCACAAAUCUGUUCUCAGUUCGGAUCGCAGUCUGCAACUCGACUGCGUGAAGCUGGAAUCGCUAGUAAUCGCGGAUCAGCAUGCCGCGGUGAAUACGUUCCCGGGCCUUGUACACACCGCCCGUCACACCACGAGAGUUUGUAACACCCGAAGUCGGUGAGGUAACCUUUUAGGAGCCAGCCGCCGAAGGUGGGACAGAUGAUUGGGGUGAAGUCGUAACAGGGUA
RNAcentral lists this ribosomal RNA (1508 nucleotides) under metagenome. RNAcentral's name for it is "bacterial SSU rRNA". It matches the Rfam family "Bacterial small subunit ribosomal RNA". The record is from RNAcentral.